GAUGAAGAACGUAGUGAAAUGCGAUAAGUAAUGUGAAUUGCAGAAUUCAGUGAAUCAUCGAAUCUUUGAACGCACAUUGCGCCCGGCAGUACUCUGCCGGGCAUGCCUGUUCGAGCGUCAUUUCAACCCUCAAGCCCUGCUUGGUGUUGGGGCCCCACGGCUGCCGUGGGCCCUGAAAGGAAGUGGCGGGCUCGCUACAACUCCGAGCGUAGUAAUUCAUUAUCUCGCUUAGGGCGUUGGGCGGCGCUCCAGCCGUUAAAGAACCAUCUUUAACUCAAGGUUGAGCUCGGAUCAGGUAGGAAUACCCGCUGAACUUAAGCAUAUCAAUAAGCGGAGGA
Molecule: unclassified non-coding RNA, 338 nt
Filed under: soil metagenome
Description: partial contains 5.8S ribosomal RNA, internal transcribed spacer 2, and large subunit ribosomal RNA
Rfam family: 5.8S ribosomal RNA (bases 1-120)
Source: RNAcentral